Long non-coding RNA from Gordionus sp. m RMFG-2023, 768 nucleotides. RefSeq lists it as uncharacterized. The transcript is spliced from 3 exons. The record is from RefSeq and is a predicted model, not a curated record. NCBI's taxonomy places the organism in Eukaryota, Metazoa, Nematomorpha, Gordioida, Chordodea, Parachordodidae.
GAUAAAUGAAUUGGACUGAUACCGAACUGGCAAGUAACGUGAGGUUUUUUUAAAUAUAAUUCAAAAUUUGAAAUGAAAAUAUUUAACAAAAUUGAUGAUAUUAUCACGGACUUGUUGACUGUUAUUGCAUCUCCAGAAAAUAAACAGAUAUUAUUAAAUUUAGAAAAUAUUUGGAAAACUAAUAAGCAUUUGUGCACUAAAAUUUUCAGUAAAGAAGUAGAAGCAUAUCUUGCAGCUAGUAAAAAUCCUUAUAAAUUGUCAUUAUAUCUUUCAAUGAAUGCUUUUGAUUAUUUUAAUUUUAAAAAUUCUAAUUUUUCUCAUUCUAUUCUGAUGAUAUUUGAAAAUUGGAUUAAUAAAGAUGAAAAGUAUUUACAUUUAAUUAAUGAAGAUUUACAAAAAUGUGCCCUUGUGCUCUCAACCAGAAAUCAUACAAAUCUGUUUACAAUUAUUGUGUCACUAUUUCAGCUUAAAACUAUGAAAUCAAGCUUCCUAACAACUUUUGUGCAAGCUUUAUUAUAUGAGAAAAAAUAUUUAAAAGCUUCCAUAAUUGUGAAAGAGCUAGAUAUCUAUUGUGUGGUAGACAUAUAUAAAGAAAUAUUAUUGCCACUAGCAUUGAUUAGUAAUGCAAAACCAAUUGAAAACUUUUUGAAUAAAAUGCCAAAGGAACAAAAAAUAUUUGUUCAAAUGCUUGAUCAUUAUAUUGGUAAUAUUCAUAUUCUACAAGAAUUUGUACAUCAUAUUGAAUGCAAUGAUAUCAAAAUUUCCUUG